CUUGGACGUUNCCNUGGAGGAUUAACCCNNNCAACCUUNUGAAUAUCUUUCUUGAACCAUUGAACGGUNCNGUUUAACANNUUUAUUUANCCNGAUAUUUAUAAUAACCAUGGUAAACUAUGGCUAAUGAUCUGGAUGAGGAUGUGACCUAUCAGCUUGUCGGUACGAUAAGUGCGUACCGUGGCGAUAACGGGUAACGGGGAAUAUGGGUUUUAUUCCGGAGAGGGAGCCUGAGAGAUGGCUGCCACGUCCAAGGACGGCAGCAGGCGCGAAACUUACCCAAUGAACAUUGAGGUAGUUACGAGGCGUAUUUAUAUACGGGAUGUAUAAAUAGCAUUCCCAAGUAUUGGAGGGCAAGCCUGGUGCCAGCAGCCGCGGUAAUACCAGCUCCAAUAGCGUCUGUGUUUAUUGCUGCGGUUAAAACGUGCGUAGUCUGGUUUAGAGCCUGAGUUAAAGAUGUGUUUUUAUAGCACAGAGUUAUUCAGGAACCAAGACCUUGAGACAGGGAAGAGGUAAUGUUAUUUGGUAGCGAGAGGUGAAAAUCGAUGACCUACCAAGGAGCGACAGAGGCGAAAGCGAUUACCGAGAACUGAUCUGACGAUCAAGCACGUGAGCAGGAGUAUCGAAGUGGAUUAGAGACCCUCGUAGUUCCUUGCAGUAAACGAUGCCAACACUGUGGUGACUAAUGUCAUUGCAGAAGCGAAAGCUAGUGUAUGGGCUCCGGGGAUAGUACGGACGCAAGUUUGAAACUUGAAGAAAUUGACGGAAGGACACCACAAGGAGUGGAGUGUGCGGGUUAAUUUGACUCAACGCGGGGAAACUUACCCGAGCAGGCAAUUAUCGAGAGAUGGAAUACCAGAUGAUAUUGCGCGUGGUGCAUGGCCGUUCUUAACACGUGGAGUGAUCUGUCUGGUCAAAUCUGAUAACGCGUGAGAGGUGAAUACUAUUAAUAUAGUAGACGGUGUCUGUAAGGACAAGGAAGUGUCACCCAAUAACAGGUCUGUGAUGCCCGUAGAUGUUCGGGGCUCCACGCGCACUACAAUGUGUGGUAGUAUAUUAAUGAGAUACUGCACGUAGUGGGGAUUGAUGUAUGUAAUUAUGUCAUGAACGUGGAAUUCCUAGUAGUUAGUAGUCACCAACGACUAACGAAUAUGUCCCUGUUCUUUGUACACACCGCCCGUCGUUAUCUAAGAUGGAGGUGCGGGUGAAGACGUGAGUUCUCGAAGACGUAAGUUGNCGAAGACGAGCGUAAGAAUCCGUGCAGCUAGAUUGGAUGUAAGUCGUAACAUGG
Molecule: ribosomal RNA, 1291 nt
Filed under: Amblyospora criniferis
Lineage: Eukaryota; Fungi; Microsporidia; Amblyosporidae
Description: SSU rRNA
Rfam family: Microsporidia small subunit ribosomal RNA
Source: RNAcentral